CAGCUUUCGACGGUAUGGUAUUGGCUUACCGUGGCAGUGACGGUUAACGGGGGAUUAGGGUUCGAUUCCGGAGAGGGAGCCUGAGAAACGGCUACCACAUCUAAGGAAGGCAGCAGGCGCGCAAAUUACCCAAUGAAAACAGUUUCGAGGUAGUGACGAGAAAUAACAAUACAGGGCAUUUAAUGCUUUGUAAUUGGAAUGAUGGGAAUGUAAAACCCUUUCAGAGUAACAAUUGGAGGGCAAGUCUGGUGCCAGCAGCCGCGGUAAUUCCAGCUCCAAUAGCGUAUAUUAGAGUUGUUGCAGUUAAAAAGCUCGUAGUUGGAUUUCUGUUAUAUCUAUUCGGAGCAUCCCUUAUUGGGAUUGCACCAGAAUCAGGGAUAACAUACUUCUGAUAGCUCGUUCCGCUUAAUUGCGUGUCGGGUGUUUCAGAACUUUUACUUUGAGAAAAAUAGAGUGUUUCAAGCAGGCUUGUUGCCUUGAAUACUGC
Molecule: ribosomal RNA, 487 nt
Filed under: Eimeria sp.
Lineage: Eukaryota; Apicomplexa; Conoidasida; Eucoccidiorida; Eimeriidae
Description: SSU rRNA
Rfam family: Eukaryotic small subunit ribosomal RNA
Source: RNAcentral